GCCGCUGUGGCGAAAUGGUAGACGCAGAGCACUCAAAAUGCUCCGAGCCCGCGCUCGUGCCGGUUCGAGUCCGGCCAGCGGCA
RNAcentral lists this transfer RNA (83 nucleotides) under Bifidobacterium pullorum subsp. saeculare. RNAcentral describes it as "Bifidobacterium saeculare tRNA". It matches the Rfam family "tRNA". From Rfam's summary of the family: Transfer RNA (tRNA) molecules are approximately 80 nucleotides in length. Lineage: Bacteria; Bacillati; Actinomycetota; Actinomycetes; Bifidobacteriales; Bifidobacteriaceae. The record is from Rfam by way of RNAcentral.